AUUGAACGCUGGCGGCAGGCCUAACACAUGCAAGUCGAGCGAGCGGCGGACGGGUGAGUAAUGUCUGGGAAACUGCCUGAUGGAGGGGGAUAACUACUGGAAACGGUAGCUAAUACCGCAUACCAUCGGAUGUGCCCAGAUGGGAUUAGCUAGUAGGCGGGGUAACGGCUCACCUAGGCGACGAUCCCUAGCUGGACUGAGAGGAUGACCAGCCAAACUGGACCUGAGACACGGUCCAGACUCCAACGGGAGGAAGCGGAGGGGAAUAUUGCACAAUGGGCGCAAGCCUGACGCAGCCAUGCCGCUUGAAUGAAGAAGGCAUUCCGGUUGUAAAGUACUUUCCGCUGGGAGGCGUUACCCGCAGAAGAAGCCCCGGCUAACUCCGUGCCAGCCGCCGCGGUAAUAC
Molecule: ribosomal RNA, 406 nt
Filed under: uncultured bacterium
Lineage: Bacteria
Description: partial 16S ribosomal RNA
Rfam family: Bacterial small subunit ribosomal RNA
Source: RNAcentral